AGAGUGCGUAAUAGCUCACUAGUCGAGAGGUCCUGCGCCGAAAAUGUCCGGGGCUAAAACACAACACCGAAGCUUAGGAAUGUAAUUAUACAUUGGUAGAGGAGCAUUCUUAAAGAGACGAAGCAGUACCGAUAAGGAGCUGUGGAUUUUUAAGAAGAGAGAAUGCCGGAAUGAGUAGCGAGAUGGAGGUGGGAAUCCUCCAGGCCGAAUAUCUAAGGUUUCCAGAGUAAAGCUGAUCUGCUCUGGGUAAGUCGGGGCCUAAGGCGAGGUCGAAAGACGUAGUCGAUGGAUAACAGGUUGAAAUUCCUGUACUGCAUAUCAUCAGAACUGUGGGGACACAGAGAGAUACCGGAACCUGGGAAUGAAGAUACCAGGGCAAGCGAGGUAGGUGCUAAGCUGGCAAAACCGCUUAGUAAGCCGAAGACGUGAUGCGGAGCGAAUUAAAGUAGCGAAGUCCGGGAUUCGAGCUGUCGAGAAAAGCCGCUAUUGUGUGAUAUGUACCCGUACCGUAAACCGACACAGGUGGAUGAGGAGAGAAUCCUAAGGCCGGCGGGAGAAGCAUUGUUAAGGAACUCGGCAAAAUGACCCUGUAACUUCGGGAUAAAGGGUGCCACAGAGAUGUGGCCGCAGAGAAUAGGCUCAAGCAACUGUUUAGCAAAAACACAGGUCUAUGCGAAACCGAAAGGUGAGGUAUAUGGGCUGACGCCUGCCCGGUGCUGGAAGGUUAAGAGGAGAGGUUAGCGCAAGCGAAGCUUUGAAUUUAAGCCCCAGUAAACGGCGGCCGUAACUAUAACGGUCCUAAGGUAGCGAAAUUCCUUGUCGGGUAAGUUCCGACCCGCACGAAAGGCGUAAUGAUUUGAGCGCUGUCUCGACAAUGCACCCGGUGAAAUUGAAAUACCAGUGAAGAUGCUGGUUACCUGCGCCAGGACGGAAAGACCCCAUGGAGCUUUACUCUAGCUUGAUACUGGGAUUCGGUACUGCAUGUACAGGAUAGGUGGGAGACUUUGAUGACAGGACGCCAGUCUUGUCGGAGUCGCUGUUGGGAUACCACCCUUGUGGUACUGGAUUUCUAACCAACCUCCGUGACCCGGAGGUGGGACAAUGUCAGGUGGGGAGUUUGACUGGGGCGGUCGCCUCCGAAAGGGUAUCGGAGGCGCUCAAAGGUUCCCUCAGAAUGGUUGGAAACCAUUCGAAGAGUGCAAAGGCAGAAGGGAGCUUGACUGCGACACCGACGGGUGGAGCAGGU
Molecule: ribosomal RNA, 1246 nt
Filed under: human gut metagenome
Description: bacterial LSU rRNA
Rfam family: Bacterial large subunit ribosomal RNA
Source: RNAcentral